GCUUGGGCCAUUUCUUUUCAAGUGGCCAUUCAUUAGCACAUCAGUCUGCAGAGGAUCAGUAUACAGAGCGCUAGGGCUGAUGGUGGCAGCAUCACCAUGUGCCUUAGCCGUAGCUCCAUUGGCAUAUGCCACUGCUAUUAGUUCCUGUGCUAGAAAGGGAAUAUUGCUUAAAGGAGGCCAGGUUUUAGACGCUCUAGCAUCCUGCCACACAAUUGCAUUUGACAAAACUGGGACAUUGACAACCGGAGGGCUUAUGUUUAAAGCAAUUG
Molecule: unclassified non-coding RNA, 269 nt
Filed under: Hevea brasiliensis (rubber tree)
Lineage: Eukaryota; Viridiplantae; Streptophyta; Magnoliopsida; Malpighiales; Euphorbiaceae
Source: RNAcentral